This is a long non-coding RNA of Raphanus sativus (radish), 1107 nucleotides long. RefSeq lists it as uncharacterized. NCBI's taxonomy places the organism in Eukaryota, Viridiplantae, Streptophyta, Magnoliopsida, Brassicales, Brassicaceae. The transcript has 2 exons. The record is from RefSeq and is a predicted model, not a curated record.
CACAUACUAAUAUCAUUCUAAGUCACUUCUCUCGAGACACUUUCCUACUCUUUUACCCUGUUGAAAUUUCAAUCUUAUCCUUAUACAAACUAAAGCUUAACUAUUUUCUCUCUCAUUUACCGUGGUCUUUGCAAUUCUGUAUCAGAUCUAUUUUUCUCUCUCCUCAGUUCCUCCCUUGCAGCCAUCUUCGUUCUGUGACGGUGAAAAGUCCCCUGGUGCUACUCUCAUCUCGACAUCGAUAUCGAGAUUGGGUUUCCCACAGUGUCAAAAGACAAUACCCUAAAAGGUCAAGGAUCCAAACAUUUGUCCCCAUGGGCGACAGUCAAUUGGAGUAUAAGCUCAAGCAGAGCAAAGAAAAGGUCAUUGACAUCGCUAGAAAUAUGGUUAAGUUCAUAAGAAACUUGGGUUGCCAGAAUGCCCAAUUUAGUCCAUAAGAUGCAAGAAGAUGGAGACAGAGUUCAUGUACGAAGAGGUCAGUGUUUCAUUCAUUUCCCGUUGGUCUGAGACUGCAUAUUUUUCCAUUCAUAUCAAAGCAAAUGUUUCUGGGUUCUGAAGAACAGCGAGUGUAAUACAACUGAGGAAGACUCGAUGUAUGUCCCCAUCCUUAGUUUGUCCACUCUUUUGUAUGUCUACUCUUCUAGCUCAGAGAUGUUCCAAAACAAGAAGAAAGUUGCUCUGUCAGAUCCAAAACAUCUUCAAUCAACCUGCUAUGUUUCCAGCUCAUCAGAAUUGGUACUUGAGAACCAGUAACAUGUUGCAGGUUGUAAAGGCCAUAUCUCUUAGCUGGGUUGUUCAAGAGUGCAAUUUGGUGGCGUGGGAGAUUGCAGUAAGCGUAACAAGGGACCAUAUAGAACCCAAUCAUACGUUCAAGACGUCUUUGGUUUCUUUUUUGCUCGUUAUGAGAGCAAGUUACGGGAUGCUCCUAUUGGAUGCAUUUUAUUUUCUUUCUUUUUCUUCUUGUUUGGUUACAUGCCUUUCAGGCCCAGAGCACUUAUAUUUGAAUUUCAAUGACAAAAAAAAAAAAGCUCAUGUGAAUUGUAACUUACCUAUAUCUGUUUUUCUUCUUUAAACAAAAGGUGUACAUGUGGAUAACAUCAUUCUGAUGUA